Molecule: non-coding RNA, 1405 nt
Organism: Danio rerio (zebrafish)
Lineage: Eukaryota; Metazoa; Chordata; Actinopteri; Cypriniformes; Danionidae
Source: the annotation of a RefSeq genome assembly
CACACCUUUACAUGCUUCUUAUCCUCAGGUGAAGUGUUGUUUCAUGUCAGACUGAUCUGCAGUGUUGAGCUCCAUGAUUUGACUAGAGAGAGGGAGUUUGCAUUGUGAGUGUGUGAGAGUGUUUCUAGUGCUGUGAGUUGAACACUUGAUGACUGAGAGCAGAACAAACACAAUCUUCAUCAUCAUCAUCAUCAUCAUCAUCAUCAUCAUCACAGCAGACUCAACUACAGCUAUGAUCAACAUCUGCAUCUGCAUCUGGACUCUGACUCUCUGCAUUCAGGAGAGUUGGGGACAAGUGACAGUGACUCAGAGUCCAGCAGUCAGAUCCAUCACACAAGGAGAAACUCUGACCAUCAGCUGCAAAACUACUCCGCUGGUGUCUGGCUGUAGUGACUGUGUGUCCUGGUAUCAGCAGAAACCUGGAGAAACCCCUAAACUCCUCAUCUAUGAUAUAAGCAGCCCUUACUCAAACACUCCAUCUAGAUUCAGUGGUGUAGGAUCUAACUUUGGCAGUGAUUUUACUCUGAUCAUCAGUGGAGUCCAGACUGAAGAUGCUGGAGAUUAUUACUGUCUGAGUGUAAACAAGAUCAGUGAUAGUUGGGUGUUCACACAGUGAUAAAGCGCCGUACAAAAACCUGCUGUUCACACUGACUGCACUGAUUCAGCUGAGAGACACUAAGGAACGCACACACUGAAAGAGGGACACACACUUUAUCUGUCAAUAAUUACUAAAUAAACAAUACAGAUACAAUCUAAUAUCCCUAAAGUGGACUAAAAUAUGAAGAUAACAGCUCUCUAGAAUGAUCUCCAUCAGUAAGUCAGUGUCUAUAAUCCUGCAGCUCCACACUUGAGCACUAGAGUCUUCUACACACACACACUCUUUCCUCUAAGACGGUGUGUUUGCUGAUGAACACACUGCAGUUCUGAACAGCUUGAUUAGUUUGAUCAGGUGUGUUUAAUCAGGGUUGGAGCUGCAGUCCUCCAGGAACUGAGUGUGAGAUGCUGGAGAUGAAGCUGCUGAACAUCUGCAGUCACUGGAGCUCAUCAGGCAAAUAUCUGCACCUUCACACUUCACUAACCAGCAGGAGAACACUCUUAUUCAUAGUCACUGAAACUACCACCUGAGUGACUAUAACAACUGCUCAUAUUCAAGAUAUAUCAGCAUGAAGAAGCAUUAUCACACAUUAAACCAUCAGCCACAUACUUAUUCUAUUUUUAAAUAUCAAACUUUAUUAAAAGCUCCGUGGUGAAACAUGCAACUAAAUAGGUUUUUGAGCUUGUUAUUAACAAUUAAUCUUAAAACACGCACACACAGAUAAGCCUUUUAUUGAAAAUAGUUUGUUUUUAAUGUUUGUUGGCAUCUAGAUUAAAAUAACUGGUUACAUUAAUGUAUUUAAGAAAUAAU